Molecule: ribosomal RNA, 253 nt
Filed under: uncultured bacterium
Lineage: Bacteria
Description: partial 16S ribosomal RNA
Rfam family: Bacterial small subunit ribosomal RNA
Source: RNAcentral
UACGUAGGGGGCAAGCGUUAUCCGGAAUUACUGGGUGUAAAGGGAGCGUAGACGGUAAUGUAAGUCUGGAGUGAAAGGCGGGGGCCCAACCCCCGGACUGCUCUGGAAACUAUGUUACUAGAGUGCAGGAGAGGUAAGCGGAAUUCCUAGUGUAGCGGUGAAAUGCGUAGAUGUUAGGGGGAACACCAGUGGCGAAGGCGGCUUACUGGACUGUAACUGACGUUGAGGCUCGAAAGCGUGGGGAGCAAACAGG